UUUAAUGGCCGCAGUAUUUUGACUGUGCAAAGGUAGCAUAAUCAUUAGUUUUUUAAUUAAAAACUGGAAUGAAGGGUUGAACGAGGAAAUAGCUGUCUCUUAAUAAAUUUUUUAGAAAUUUAUUUUUAAGUAAAAAAGCUUAAAUUUUUUUAAAAGACGAGAAGACCCUAUAGAGUUUUAUAUUAUUAUAAAUUAUUUUUAUUUUUGUAUAUUUUUUAUUUAAUUUAUAGUAGUAUUUUAUUGGGGUGAUUGAAAAAUUUAAUAAACUUUUUUUUUAUGUUUACAUUAAUUUAUGAUUUAUUGAUCCAUUUUUUAUGAUUAUAAGAUUAAAUUACCUUAGGGAUAACAGCGUAAUUUCUUUUUAGAGUUCAAAUCGAUAAAGAAGUUUGCGACCUCGAUGUUGGAUUAAAAUAAAAUUUUGGUGUAGAAGCUAGAAUAUUUAGGUCUGUUCGACCUUUGAAAUUUUACAUGAUCUGAGUUUAAACCGGUGUGAGCCAGGUUGGUUUCUAUCUUUAAAUAAUUUAAUUUUUUAGUACGAAAGGACCAAAUAUUAGUAAUAGUUAUUUUUAUUKGAAUAAUAUUA
Molecule: ribosomal RNA, 583 nt
Filed under: Liparocephalus cordicollis
Lineage: Eukaryota; Metazoa; Arthropoda; Insecta; Coleoptera; Staphylinidae
Description: partial 16S ribosomal RNA
Rfam family: Bacterial large subunit ribosomal RNA
Source: RNAcentral